AGGGGCGGCCCAAUGUAUUUUGGGGCCUAAGGCGAACUCACUAAGAGAGGCCUUUUUAAAAAUAAUAAUAAUAAUAAUAAUAAAUUUUUAAGAAGAGAAAAAUUAUAAGAAUUGUAACAAAAUUAGAUGAAUUAGAAGCAGGAGAUUAUAAAUUUAAAAAGUAUGUUUCUUUAGAAACAAAAAAUAGUGAAGGAAAUUUUAUUGGAAUAAAAAGGGGAUCAAACUAUCCUAGUAUAACAGCACCUGGAGCCCAUUCAAUCAGAAAUUCUCCCUUCACUGCUCCAGAAGAUUGUUUUCGUUAGUUAUAAUUCUAUGUAAGUUGUGGAGACCAUACAUGAGAUGAUAAGUCAAUAGUUGCAAAGCAUAAGAAUGUUCAUGCUGUUUUCCAUCAAAUUCUCCUACUAACUAUUAACAGCUUCUACUAACAAAUAACCUAUUUGCUCGAGGUGCCAAGGCUGCAAGGCAUAUCGAUCAUAAGAAGGAUCCCAUGAGCUCCCCACGCUGACCAAUUUUACAAAGAGAAAAUGAUUAAAAUUACAUGAUAGAUUACAUGAUAGAUGAAUCCAAUGGACUUUCGGACUUUCCCAUCCUUUGCCUAAAAAACAGAAAGAAAUAACAUAUGGUUUACUGGUUUAGGCAUUUCAUCAAACAUGUUUAAGCCAGAGAGAGACUUACAAGUUACAACUCAAAUGCAGUGCAGGCUGCAGCAGCGAGCGCCGAGCGGGUUGACGACCUGAUCUGCUGAUCACCUGACGUGAAGAAAUCAAAAAGAUGGGGUCGU
This 781-nucleotide long non-coding RNA is filed under the name Phoenix dactylifera (date palm). Its description in RNAcentral is "long non-coding RNA (PDAC_LNC007110)". The record is from RNAcentral. Lineage: Eukaryota; Viridiplantae; Streptophyta; Magnoliopsida; Arecales; Arecaceae.